CAGCCGCCACGGUAACACGUAGGGUGCAAGCGUUAAUCGGAAUUACUGGGCGUAAAGCGUGCGCAGGCGGUUAUAUAAGACAGAUGUGAAAUCCCCGGGCUCAACCUGGGAACUGCAUUUGUGACUGUAUAGCUAGAGUACGGCAGAGGGGGAUGGAAUUCCGCGUGUAGCAGUGAAAUGCGUAGAUAUGCGGAGGAACACCGAUGGCGAAGGCAAUCCCCUGGGCCUGUACUGACGCUCAUGCACGAAAGCGUGGGGAGCAAACAGGAUUAGAGACCCCCGUAGUCCCUGUCUCUUAUAC
RNAcentral lists this ribosomal RNA (301 nucleotides) under uncultured bacterium. RNAcentral's name for it is "partial 16S ribosomal RNA". It matches the Rfam family "Bacterial small subunit ribosomal RNA", at positions 509 to 807 of the family's 1533-position model. The record is from RNAcentral.